AGAGUUUGAUCAUGGCUCAGAACGAACGCUGGCGGCGUGGAUAAGACAUGCAAGUCGAGCGGGAUUUCUUUUGGUAGCAAUACCGAGAGAAAUUCAGCGGCGAACGGGUGCGUAACACGUGGGCAAUUUGCCUUAAAGUGUGGGAUAGCUCGGCGAAAGCCGAAUUAAUACCGCAUGUGGCUACUGGAGACAUCUUCGGGACGCUAAAGGUGGCGCAAGCUACCGCUUUUUGAGGAGCCCGCGGCCUAUCAGCUUGUUGGCGAGGUAACGGCUCACCAAGGCGAUGACGGGUAGCUGGUCUGAGAGGACGACCAGCCACACUGGGACUGAGACACGGCCCAGACACCUACGGGUGGCAGCAGUCGAGAAUUUUUGACAAUGGGGGAAACCCUGAUCGAGCGACGCCGCGUGGAGGAUGAAGGUCUUCGGGUUGUAAACUCCUGUCAUUUGGGAACAAGGCGUAGGUAUUAACUGUACGUGCGUUGAUAGUACCAGAAGAGGAAGAGACGGCUAACUCUGUGCCAGCAGCCGCGGUAAUACAGAGGUCUCAAGCGUUGUUCGGAUUCAUUGGGCGUAAAGGGUGUGUAGGUGGCGCGCUAAGUCGGGUGUGAAAUUUCGGAGCUUAACUCCGAAACUGCAUUCGAUACUGGCGUGCUUGAGGACUGGAGAGGAGACUGGAAUUUACGGUGUAGCAGUGAAAUGCGUAGAUAUCGUAAGGAAGACCAGUGGCGAAGGCGGGUCUCUGGACAGUUCCUGACACUGAGACACGAAGGCCAGGGGAGCAAACGGGAUUAGAUACCCCCGUAGUCC
This 810-nucleotide ribosomal RNA is filed under the name uncultured bacterium. RNAcentral describes it as "bacterial SSU rRNA". It matches the Rfam family "Bacterial small subunit ribosomal RNA", at positions 8 to 796 of the family's 1533-position model. The record is from RNAcentral.